Molecule: ribosomal RNA, 247 nt
Filed under: uncultured bacterium
Lineage: Bacteria
Description: partial 16S ribosomal RNA
Rfam family: Bacterial small subunit ribosomal RNA
Source: RNAcentral
AUACGUAGGUGGCAAGCGUUGUCCGGAAGUUAUUGGGCGUAAAGAGCAUGUAGGUGGGCUUUUAAGUCCGAUGUGAAAAUGCGGGGCUCAACCCCGUAUGGCAUUGGAUACUGGAAGUCUUGAGUGCAGGAGAGGAAAGGGGAAUUCCCAGUGUAGCGGUGAAAUGCGUAGAUAUUGGGAGGAACACCAGUGGCGAAGGCGCCUUUCUGGACUGUGUCUGACACUGAGAUGCGAAAGCUAGGGUAGC